UGAUAGACCAUAGAUAGCCCAGUCCAAUAGCAGACAGGAGCAGUGGACCAGAAGGAUCGGGCUCGGACAUCGGACUCGGACAUCAUUGACCACGUGCCAGACGUCACGUGAUGUACAAGACGACCUUUUGCACCAACACUAGUGUACAAUCACACACACAUCUUGCCUUGCUCACCCACUCCAGACAAACAGACCCUGAAAGGCUUGUGUAGGGCUGAGAGACAAGGGGUUUGUGGUCUGUGAGUAGUCGUAGUCGUUCAACUACUACUUGUAGCUGCUGUACAUGACAUAGCGCAACGGAACGUGGACUAAAUAAGUUGUAAUAAAUAU
This 330-nucleotide unclassified non-coding RNA is filed under the name Yarrowia lipolytica. Lineage: Eukaryota; Fungi; Ascomycota; Dipodascomycetes; Dipodascales. The record is from RNAcentral.